UUUGGAGAUGUGGGUCCCAGACACUGUUAGCAUAUUCUAGUGUUGGUCAUACAAGGGUUAUGUAUGCCUGCCGCUUUAUAUUCAUUGGGCAUUUACUAAGAUUCCGUCGUAUAAAGCCUAAAGUUUUAUUUGCCUUUGCAGUGAUAUUUCCGAUGUGGUCAUUCCAUGAUAAAGUGUUUGAUAGCUCCACUCCUAGGUAUGGAUUGUGGUUGACUGUUCCAAGGAUGUGUCCCUCCAUUUAGUAUGGGUAAGAUUAUUGGUUGUCGUCCUGUUGUUAUACGCAAUACAAAACAUUUUGUUGGAUUAAAUAUCAUUUGCCACUUUUUAGUCCAGUUAACCACAGUGGUCAGGUCCUGCUGGAGUUGAAGACAGUGGUUCAUUGAUUGUACAGCUACGUAGAUUAGGCUAUCAUCUGCAAAUAAUCUAAUUGAUGAUUUAAUGCCAAUACCUAUAUCGUUGAUAUGCAAGAGGAACAUCCACGGCCCAAGCACUGUGCCCUGUAGUACAUGUGCAUAUUGUUAGGAAUUUAUAGUUUGCACAAAUUUUACAAUAGACUUUUUGGACUUUGACGUU
RNAcentral lists this long non-coding RNA (573 nucleotides) under Mytilus galloprovincialis (Mediterranean mussel). Lineage: Eukaryota; Metazoa; Mollusca; Bivalvia; Mytilida; Mytilidae. The record is from RNAcentral.